GUAAGGGAAUCUUCCACAAUGGACGCAAGUCUGAUGGAGCAACGCCGCGUGAGUGAAGAAGGUCUUCGGAUCGUAAAACUCUGUUGUUAGAGAAGAACACGAGUGAGAGUAACUGUUCAUUCGAUGACGGUAUCUAACCAGCAAGUCACGGCUAACUACGUGCCAG
Molecule: ribosomal RNA, 166 nt
Filed under: uncultured bacterium
Lineage: Bacteria
Description: partial 16S rRNA
Rfam family: Bacterial small subunit ribosomal RNA
Source: RNAcentral